AGUUCGUAGGUGACCUGCGGAGGAUCAUUAUUGUUUCGGGGAAAACUAAAACCCCAUUAGGUGUCAAGCUAGUGGAGGGAGCUUGGCAUCGAGGGCCCUGAAAAAAGAGGGAUUUCUUCAACCUUGCCUUUUUUUGCGCACCCCUUGUUUCCUCGGCAGCUUCGCCUGCCAACGAGGACCUCCUUAAAACCUUUUGCAAUCAGCAUAACGUUCUGAAAACAAACAAUAUUAAAACUUUCAACAAUGGAUCUCUUGGCUCUGGCAUCGAUGAAGAACGCAGCGAAAUGCGAUAAGUAGUGUGAAUUGCAGAAUUCAGUGAAUCAUCGAAUCUUUGAACGCACAUUGCGCCCGCUAGUAUUCUGGCGGGCAUGCCUGUUCGAGCGUCAUUUCAACCAUCAAGCUUCAGGCUUGUGUUGGGGCCCUGCGGCUGCCGCAGGCCCCUAAAAGCAGUGGCGGACUCGCUGUCAUACUGAGCGCAGUAACACAUCUCGCUCAGGGCGUGGCGGCGGGCACCGGCCGUAAAACUCUUACACCUAAGGUUGACCUCGGAUCAGGUAGGAAUACCCGCUGAACUUAAGCAUAUCAAUAAGCGGAGGA
Molecule: ribosomal RNA, 597 nt
Filed under: uncultured Sordariales
Lineage: Eukaryota; Fungi; Ascomycota; Sordariomycetes; Sordariales
Description: eukaryotic LSU rRNA
Rfam family: 5.8S ribosomal RNA (bases 233-386)
Source: RNAcentral